This 260-nucleotide ribosomal RNA is filed under the name uncultured bacterium. RNAcentral describes it as "partial 16S ribosomal RNA". It matches the Rfam family "Bacterial small subunit ribosomal RNA", at positions 524 to 776 of the family's 1533-position model. The record is from RNAcentral.
UACGUAGGGUGCGAGCGUUGUCCGGAAUUAUUGGGCGUAAAGAGCUCGUAGGCGGUGUGUCACGUCGGCCGUGAAAACCUGCAGCUUAACUGUGGGCUUGCGGUCGAUACGGGCAUCACUGGAGUUCGGCAGGGGAGACUGGAAUUCCUGGUGUAGCGGUGAAAUGCGCAGAUAUCAGGGAGGAACCGACCGGUGGCGAAGGCGGGUCUCUGGGCCGAUGACUGACGCUGGAGGAGCGAAAGCCGUGGGGAGCGAACAGG